Molecule: non-coding RNA, 45 nt
Organism: Schistosoma curassoni
Lineage: Eukaryota; Metazoa; Platyhelminthes; Trematoda; Strigeidida; Schistosomatidae
Source: Rfam
AUCCAGCUGACGAGUCCCAUGUAAGACGAAACGCGCGUCCUAGAU